CGCGGCCUAUCAGCUUGUUGGUGAGGUAACGGCUCACCAAGGCAUCGACGGGUAGCUGGUCUGAGAGGAUGAUCAGCCACACUGGGACUGAGACACGGCCCAGACUCCUACGGGAGGCAGCAGUGGGGAAUAUUGCACAAUGGGCGCAAGCCUGAUGCAGCAACGCCGCGUGCGGGAAGAAGGCCCUAGGGUUGUAAACCGCUUUCAGCAGGGAAGAAACUGACGGUACCUGCAGAAGAAGGUGCGGCCAACUACGUGCCAGCAGCCGCGGUGACACGUAGGCACCAAGCGUUGUCCGGAUUUAUUGGGCGUAAAGAGCUCGUAGGCGGUUCAGUAAGUCGGGUGUGAAAACUCUGGGCUCAACCCAGAGAGGCCACCCGAUACUGCUGUGACUCGAGUACGGUAGGGGAGCGGGGAAUUCCUGGUGUAGCGGUGAAAUGCGCAGAUAUCAGGAGGAACACCAGUGGCGAAGGCGCCGCUCUGGGCCGUAACUGACGCUGAGGAGCGAAAGCGUGGGUAGCAAACAGGAUUAGAUACCCUGGUAGUCCACGCCGUAAACGUUGGGCACUAGGUGUGGGUCUCAACCAACGAGAUCCGCGCCGUCGCUAACGCAUUAAGUGCCCCGCCUGGGGAGUACGG
RNAcentral lists this ribosomal RNA (639 nucleotides) under uncultured Ilumatobacter sp. RNAcentral describes it as "bacterial SSU rRNA". It matches the Rfam family "Bacterial small subunit ribosomal RNA", at positions 232 to 885 of the family's 1533-position model. The record is from RNAcentral. Lineage: Bacteria; Bacillati; Actinomycetota; Acidimicrobiia; Acidimicrobiales; Ilumatobacteraceae.